GAUAGCAUGCAGUCGGGGGAUCCCAGCAAUGGGGGAACCGGCGUAAGGGGCAGUAAGGCGUGGGUACCUACCCCGGGGUUCGGGAUAGCUGUCCGAGAGGGCAGGUAAUACCGGAUGACCUGGUGACAGCAAAGAUUUAUCGCCCUGGGAGGGGCCCACGUGAUAUUAGGUAGUUGGCGGGGUAACGGCCCACCAAGCCUUAGAUGUCUAGCGGGUGUGAGAGCACGACCCGCGCCACUGGCACUGAGACACUGGCCAGACACCUACGGGUGGCUGCAGUCGAGGAUCUUCGGCAAUGGGCGCAAGCCUGACCGAGCGACGCCGCGUGGGCGAUGAAGGCCUUCGGGUUGUAAAGCCCUGUCGGGGGGGAGAAAAGGGUAACACUUUGAUCUAUCCCCGGAGGAAGCACGGGCUAAGUUCGUGCCAGCAGCCGCGGUAAGACGAACCGUGCGAACGUUGUUCGGAAUCACUGGGCUUAAAGGGCGCGUAGGCGGGCCUCCAAGUCCGGGGUGAAAGCCUCCAGCCUAACUGGAGAAGCGCCUCGGAGACUGGGGGCCUCGAGGGAGGUAGGGGCAAGCGGAACUAUGGGUGGAGCGGUGAAAUGCAUUGAUAUCCAUAGGAACUCCGGUGGCGAAGGCGGCUUGCUGGACCUCUUCUGACGCUGAGGCGCGAAAGCCAGGGGAGCAAACGGGAUUAGAUACCCCGGUAGUCCUGGCCCUAAACGUUGGGUACUAGGUAGUCGACCUGACAUGGGUUGACUGCCGGAGCAAAAGUGCUAAGUACCCCGCCUGGGGAGUAUGGUCGCAAGGCUGAAACUCAAAGGAAUUGACGGGGGCUCACACAAGCGGUGGAGCAUGUGGCUCAAUUCGAGGCUACGCGAAAAACCUUAUCCUGGGCUUGACAUGUGCCAAAACCGUCAGCAGGUAGGACCCGGAAACGGGAACGAACGGUAUCCAAUCCGGAAACCUGAUACAGGUGCUCAUGGCUGU
This 989-nucleotide ribosomal RNA is filed under the name uncultured bacterium. Its description in RNAcentral is "bacterial SSU rRNA". It matches the Rfam family "Bacterial small subunit ribosomal RNA", at positions 49 to 1052 of the family's 1533-position model. The record is from RNAcentral.